GAUGAACGCUGACAGAAUGCUUAACACAUGCCAGUCAACUUGAAUUUGGGUUUUUAACUUAGGUUUGGGUGGCGGACGGGUGAGUAACGCGUAAAGAACUUGCCUCACAGCUAGGGACAACAUUUGGAAACGAAUGCUAAUACCUAAUAUUAUGAUAAUAGGGCAUCCUAUAAUUAUGAAAGCUAUAAGCGCUGUGAGAGAGCUUUGCGUCCCAUUAGCUAGUUGGAGAGGUAACGGCUCACCAAGGCGAUGAUGGGUAGCCGGUCUGAGAGGGUGAUCGGCCACAAGGGGACUGAGACACGGCCAUUACUCCUACGGGAGGAAGCAGUGGGGAAUAUUGGACAAUGGACCGAGAGUCUGAUCCAGCAAUUCUGUGUGCACGAUGAAGUUUUUCGGAAUGUAAAGUGCUUGCAGUUGAGAAGAAACAAAUGACGGUACCAACAGAAGAAGUGACGGCUAAAUACGUG
RNAcentral lists this ribosomal RNA (467 nucleotides) under uncultured bacterium. RNAcentral's name for it is "partial 16S ribosomal RNA". It matches the Rfam family "Bacterial small subunit ribosomal RNA", at positions 28 to 507 of the family's 1533-position model. The record is from RNAcentral.